GUCGCUAUAGUUUAGUGGUUAGAAUUCCUGCCUGUCACGCAGGGGGCCGGGGUUCGUUUCCCCGUGGUGGCG
This 72-nucleotide transfer RNA is filed under the name Dunaliella salina. RNAcentral's name for it is "tRNA-Asp". It matches the Rfam family "tRNA". From Rfam's summary of the family: Transfer RNA (tRNA) molecules are approximately 80 nucleotides in length. Their secondary structure includes four short double-helical elements and three loops (D, anti-codon, and T loops). Further hydrogen bonds mediate the characteristic L-shaped molecular structure. tRNAs have two regions of fundamental functional importance: the anti-codon, which is responsible for specific mRNA codon recognition, and the 3' end, to which the tRNAs corresponding amino acid is attached (by aminoacyl-tRNA synthetases). tRNAs cope with the degeneracy of the genetic code in two manners: having more than one tRNA (with a specific anti-codon) for a particular amino acid; and 'wobble' base-pairing, i.e. permitting non-standard base-pairing at the 3rd anti-codon position. Lineage: Eukaryota; Viridiplantae; Chlorophyta; Chlorophyceae; Chlamydomonadales; Dunaliellaceae. The record is from RNAcentral.